RNAcentral lists this unclassified non-coding RNA (1829 nucleotides) under Hevea brasiliensis (rubber tree). The record is from RNAcentral. Lineage: Eukaryota; Viridiplantae; Streptophyta; Magnoliopsida; Malpighiales; Euphorbiaceae.
AUGGUUUUAGGUCCAUGCCCAUGCUUGUACAUGUAUAUGAAGAUUGUUGAUACCUUAAGGUUCAAAAAACAAUGAAAAAUCACAUUAACAAAUUUUAUCAAAAAUAUUAGGGGAUGAUUAGUGCCUCUGCUAGUGCAAUAGUUUAAUGAAUCAUAACAUAAUCUGUAGCAAGGGUUUCAAAAUUCUAUAUCAAUUCAGCUUAAUUUCCUGGCUGAUCCACUGCUUUAUACUUUUUAUCGAGGUCAAUGAUAUAUUUUGUACUGUCAUUGGACACUGUCUGUUUCGUUCUUUUUUUCAGCUAGGACUGGGAGGUGAUGGUUUAUGCAAUAAAUGCUUUCCUCCACAAGUUCCUUCCCUCCUGUACCACUGUCCCACAUGGGGAUGGUUUUGUUUAAUUAGGACCCUGAUUGUAAUUAAGAAGUUAAAAAAUGAUAGAGCUGCACAAAGAAGUGAUGAUAAUGUGUGAUACAUCAUAAAAUAAGCGGGUCUCUAAUAGAGUGACACGUGUAUACUUUGUGUAAGAAGUCAGAAAAGUACUCGGUAUGAGAAAUGGAGGAUGUAAAAGCACUCGAACUUCUGCUAAAGAAGUUGGUUACCCUGAAGAGCCUCAGAGAUGGUUGUAUUGUGGUCGUAAGUAGCGAAAAAUGUCGGAUUAGGGAUCUACUUGAACUUCAAAAUUAAUCAUGCUGCACAAGCACUUUAAAUCACCAAAUCUAUAAAGAUCGAUAAAGAACACAAAACAGUAAAAUCGGAAACAAAGCGGAGCCUAACUUCUAAGCCUUUGACACUCUAAUCGGCUAGAAGGGGAAUUGUAUAUAUUAAAAAGUCGUUACAUACGCCUAUCUCACACAAUCAGGUCGGAUAGGCAAACACAUUGGCCUGACUGACUAAUUAGUCACCCUCAACUCAAGUAUGUUAGUAUUGUGGAGAACACUUGAUUCGACCUUGAGACGAAUAUAUCAUUGAUCUAGACAGGCCACUUGCAGGACUUUACACGUGUCCGGAAAACAUUGGCUCCCUAGUUCUAUAAAUAAGGAUCAUCUUCCAAUGGGAAGAUCAAAUUUUACCUAGCCCUUAUUAUGUCCCAAUAAAAUCCCCCUAAAGAGAUCACUCUAAAACCAAGUGAUAGUAAAGCAGGCACUCUAACCCAAAAUUUGCUUAUUCAUUCACGUUAGCCAAAUCUAAAAGACACGUGUCAUCAUCACACAUACCUACCCUUUCUUGAGUUAUCAAUUUGUUUUGAAGGAACUGGUGGCAUAUGAUUAUUUGGGUUAUAUAGUUUAAUGAGAUGCAGAUUAUUUGUGGAGACACUACACCAAGGAAGUGCCAUGAAAGAAAUGUUUGCAAUAAAAUAGCAGAAUAUUGCUGUUUGGAGUCAUAUGCAUUUAAUUGGUGCUGAAUUGAGUUAUGGUGAAGAGGAAUUUGGUUCUGGAUCAAUGGAUGAAAGAAAUGUUUCCUGGGAACAAAAUCGUCAUCAUCUCUUGUAAAUUUUUACUAGAGAUUUUUUAUUAUGGCAUUUUCCUCAUUUUCUUAGGCAAUAUUAUUGAUUCCUCAUGCAUAUGGUGUCAAAUCUACUUUCUUAUCGGUGUUUAUUCAUGAAGCAGCUAUUGGCAUUAUAUUUAGAGUUUAUCUAUUUAAAGUAGAAUGCUGGUGAGAACUAGCAACUUACUGAAUCUUCACAUGGAGCACUCAUUCCCUAUUACCCUGUUGGGAUGGAAAAACCUGUCUAUGAACAUUGAUUUAUAUUAUUGGUGCUAUUGUUUUGUACUUUUAAGUGAUCAGGUGGAGUUCUACUCGUACAUCUUUUUGCCUUUUUUUUUUAUAUUUUU